UGUGUGUGUGUGUGUGUGUUUUAGUAGAUCUGAACAUUUAGGAUAAAUGGGUCGUUGUUUUUAAUGGUAUUUUUUUAAUGGUAUUUGUGGUAAUCUAUCGGUAGUUUUUAGUUUGUUUGGGGAUAUAGUUUUUUUUUUUCUUUCCUUUUUGCCUCCUUAGUGCAAGUCAUUUCUUUUACUUGUAAAUGCUGGCUGUUGGAUUUGAGGUCAUUUUGUGCUUGGAAUUUGGGGUGUCUGGAUGGAUCCAUGUGAAAUGAAAAUGAUAUUCUAGUUUGUAAUUUUAAGAUCCCAAUUGCUGGCGGGAUUUUGGAGAGGAUUUAGUUUCCAUAAGUUUUCUGAUGAAUUUUCAGAUCUGAUGGUAUUUUUGGGCGUUUAUUCACAAAAUUUUAAUUUGCACGCUGACCAUUGGAUGGAUCACACAUCUCUCAUGGCUUGAUACUGAAAGAUGGAUAUUUAGCUAGUUAAGAGUAGCUUUUUGUAAUACUGGAAAAUCAUGUUUAUACUGAAAUUUUGAGUGUGUUUUCUGACUUGCAGUUGCCAGAAUGGAAACCUUCCUA
RNAcentral lists this unclassified non-coding RNA (557 nucleotides) under Hevea brasiliensis (rubber tree). The record is from RNAcentral. Lineage: Eukaryota; Viridiplantae; Streptophyta; Magnoliopsida; Malpighiales; Euphorbiaceae.